Molecule: long non-coding RNA, 346 nt
Filed under: Homo sapiens (human)
Lineage: Eukaryota; Metazoa; Chordata; Mammalia; Primates; Hominidae
Description: non-protein coding lnc-CXCL3-2:2
Source: RNAcentral
GACUCAAUGCCACCCUGCAGCUGUGCCAGAUCACUUUGUGCCCUGCAGGUGCUGCUGUUGACUGUUCUGGGUUCCUCCACCAAUGGACAAACUAAGAGAAACAUAGGGAAAAGGAAAUCUGUAAGUGUAGACAGUGACUUGUACACUGAACUGCGCUGCGUGUAUGUGAAGUCAACCUUUGUACUUCAUCCCAGAAACAUCCACAAUUUGGAGUUGGUCUCAGCAGGACCCCAUUGCAGCAAAGACGAAGUAAUAGCCACUCUGUAAGAUGGGAGAAAAAAUCUGCCUGGACCCAGAUGCUCCCAGAAUCAAUAAAAUUGUACAGAAAAUGUUGAAAGUUGAUGAA